Molecule: ribosomal RNA, 263 nt
Filed under: uncultured archaeon
Lineage: Archaea
Description: partial 16S ribosomal RNA
Rfam family: Archaeal small subunit ribosomal RNA
Source: RNAcentral
AGGGUGUAAACGCUGCAGACUUGGUGUUGGAAGCCCUUUGGGGGCAUUCAGUGCCGGAGAGAAGUUGUUAAGUCUGCUACUUGGGGAGUACGUCCGCAAGGAUGAAGCUUAAAGGAAUUGGGCGGGGGAGCACCGCAACGGGAGGAGCGUGCGGUUUAAUUGGAUUCAACACCGUAAAACUCACCAGGGGAGACUGUUACAUGAAACCCAGACUAAUGAUCUUGGUUGAUUUUUCAGAGAGGAGGUGCAUGGCGUCAGUGACU